GACGAACGCUGGCGGCGUGCCUAAUACAUGCAAGUCGAACGAGAACGCCCGGUGCUUGCACUGGUCACUCUAGUGGCGAACGGGUGAGUAACACGUGGGUAACCUGCCUAUCAGAGGGGGAUAACAUCCGGAAACGGGUGCUAAUACCGCAUAGGAUUUUGAACCGCAUGGUUUGAUGGGGAAAAGCGGCGCUAGCGUCUGCUGUUGGAUGGACCCCGCGUGCAUUAGCUAGUUGGUAGGGUAACGGCUAACCAAGGCAGUGAUGCUUAGCCGACCUGAGAGGGUGAUCGGCCACAUUGGAACUGAGACACGGCCCAGACUCCUACGGGAGGCAGCAGUAGGGAAUCUUCCGCAAUGGACGAAAGUCUGACGGAGCAACGCCGCGUGAGUGAUGAAGGUUUUCGGAUCGUAAAACUCUGUUGUUAGAGAAGAACAAGUGCUUAAGUAACUGUUAGCGUCUUGACGGUACCUAACCAGAAAGCCACGGCUAACUACGUG
RNAcentral lists this ribosomal RNA (498 nucleotides) under uncultured bacterium. Its description in RNAcentral is "partial 16S ribosomal RNA". It matches the Rfam family "Bacterial small subunit ribosomal RNA", at positions 28 to 507 of the family's 1533-position model. The record is from RNAcentral.